This is a long non-coding RNA of Myotis davidii, 543 nucleotides long. RefSeq lists it as uncharacterized. Lineage: Eukaryota; Metazoa; Chordata; Mammalia; Chiroptera; Vespertilionidae. The transcript has 4 exons. The record is from RefSeq and is a predicted model, not a curated record.
UUUUUGUUGUUUUUUCAGGAAUUCCCAAGGUCCUCCAACUUGAUGGAAAGAUAAGACAUGCAGGCAUCUCACAGGUGAUACUGGAGGCAGAGUGGCAUCAAGCUCUGGGCUGUGCACUUGCAGGGAUUUAAAAAGAAAGGUUACCCAAGAUAAAGUUUGGGAGCACGCUAAGAAACCUAGAAAUUGGUCUCACCUUCAGCUUCAGAUCCCUUGGAAAUCCUGUCCCAUGUAGCAGAAGGAAAGCACCAUCAUUACCGCUCAAAAAAUAAGCUGGUCAGACUGAUGAAGAUGGAGACCCUCUCCCAUUGUCCAACUGGAUGUUUUCUAACGAAGGAGCUAUAUUUCCAGUCAUAAAAGGAAAUGAUGGGUAAUUUAAAGAAGGAGAAAGGGUGAUGGGUGUUUGUGGAACCAAGGAACUAAGCCCCAUCUUGUCAGGACUGCAAACUUCUGGGUCUUCAGAGAGAAGAGAAAAAUUCUCACAGAAACCGGAGGGGGAGAAACUACCUUAAUUAUAGAGCACCAAAGAUAAGAAUUACAUCAGAC